Cygnus olor (mute swan) is the source of this 3402-nucleotide RNA transcript. It is a transcript of the gene named ankyrin repeat and SOCS box containing 9, with no coding region annotated. The transcript is spliced from 8 exons. The record is from RefSeq and is a predicted model, not a curated record. Lineage: Eukaryota; Metazoa; Chordata; Aves; Anseriformes; Anatidae.
AGGAAUUCAGUGCCUCGCUCCUUGCUCAAGCAGGGCGGUGGGCUGCUGCGACAGGAGGGUGGGCUCACACACCACGGGGCAGCCUGCAGAGAGGAGCGAGGCACGGCUGCCUGCAAGCCGCUCGCUUGGGAGUGGUGCGGAUCUCACCAGUGUCUCUCUGGGUUUUCUUUGCAAAUCCCCCGCAGGCAGAGUUUGCUCAACUAGUUGAACUGGCUCUUUCUCUCUUGUUUUUUUGGCAAACCAAGGAUUUCCUUCCUGAUAAAAACAGCCGGCCAGCGCCCCGAUUGGGUGCAGGGUUGUGGAGGAUAUGACAUCAGGCACAUCUCUCGCUUCAUGCAGUGUGGUCUGCCUGAUUGCUGGCUGCCUACCAGUGGAGCCGGGGAGGUGUUUCCCUAAACCCCAUCCCAGGUACUUGAGUUUCUGCACAAAGUGGUGCUGCACCGAGUCCCAGCCCGCUGCGAGGUUUGUUGGAGUGGUGCACAAGCAGUCUGCUCGACAGAUCACUCACGUGUGCAGGGGCUCGCCGAGGACGAUGGAAUUUGAACCCUCAAGAGCAACACUGAAGUGAGAAAACAGAAACUGGGCAGACAAGGCUGAGAUGGAUGAUGAGGGAAUGAGUCAAAAUGCCAGUAAAUCACAAGGAGUCGGGGGCCAGGUGUCUGCAACGUCUCCAUCAUUGCUGCUGAUGAGGGACUUUGUUUCAGACUGGUCUCCUUUACACGAUGCCUCUAUCCGUGGGCGCCUGCUUACUCUAAAGAAACUCAUCAGCCAGGGGAGUGAUGUUAAUCUUGUUACAACAGACCAGGUGUCUCCCCUCCAUGAAGCCUGCCUAGGUGGUCAUGCUGCUUGUGCCAGUGUCCUAUUAAAACAUGGUGCUAAGGUGAAUGGAGUGACUGUUGACUGGCACACUCCUUUGUUCAGCGCCUGUGUCAGUGGCAGUGUGGCUUGCUUGAAUUUACUGCUGCAACACGGAGCCAGCCUGCACCCGCCCUGUGACUUAGCAUCCCCCAUCCAUGAAGCUGCUAAGAGAGGUCAUGUGCAAUGUGUUGAGAUCCUCGCGUCCCAUGGGGUGAACAUAGAUUAUAACAUCAAACAUCUGGGUACUCCGCUUUAUGUAGCUUGUGAGAACCAGCAAGUCAACUGUGCCAGGAAGCUGCUUGAGUCAGGAGCAAAUGUGAACAGCGGCCAGGGCCUGGAGUCCCCACUGCAUGCAGCCGCCAGGAGUUGCAGUGAGGAGCUGGUGAUGCUGCUGAUUGACUUUGGAGCAGACAUUUGGGCAAAGAACGCCAAAAGCAAGAGGCCGAUGGAUCUGGUUCCACCUGGAAGCCCUUUGGGUCGUCUGUUCCUGCAGAAAGAAGGGCCGCUGUCCUUGAUGCAUUUAUGCCGCCUGUCCAUCAGGAGGUGCUUUGGACAUAAGCAGCACCAGAAAAUAACUGGUCUUCUCCUCCCAGAUGAGCUGAAACGUUUUCUUCUCCAUGUUUAAGCCUUUCAAGUUUAAAGUGGUGCCUUAAUAACACAGCAAGGUUUGUUGAGGAAAGACUUCCCAUCAGUAGUGUUGCCAAUAUGCAGUGUUAAUUUAUGAUAGCUGUUGGUCUCUAGUAGAGCCCUCAGUCCAGGAAGGAUGGGAACAACCAACUUGCUGAGUCCUCCCAGCCACCACCCCCAGCAAACCAGUAACUUGAAAAGGAGAUAAUGGCUGACAACACCUUACCAAGAAAAUUCAUAUCCCAGCCCAGCAGGAACAGCAUUUUGUGUGCAUUAAACUCUAAGGAUAGCUGCACUUUUUCUGUGUAAGCAGGGCUUACGGAUGUGAGGGCUGCAUCCACACCACUGUAGGAAAGCUGUCCUGCUGCCACAAACCAAAGCGCAGUUACAAUCACUCUGUGCUCUCCUGGAUUCUCCCAUGGGAAUACUGACUAUCCAACAGGCACGAGACUGAGGAUGAUGAAGGUCUAGUUCUUCCGCCACCAGCCUCAUCCUACCUCCAUCUCUGGACCACUGUGCACCUGCAGGGUUAGUGCCACGUUGCACGUGUGCCAGAGGGGCAGGCCAAGCACUUGGGUGAUUUUGGAGAUCCUUUUCUUCUUCACUUAGCUGUGAAGACUCCUGCAAGAGUGAGCUCGGUGUGCACAAACUGCAGUGAAAUCAUCAGCAAUGAGAUACAGACGGUCCUCAUCUCGUGUUAGCGGAGAGAGCAGCAGCCUUCAAAUACACACACAGUUCUGGUGUUUGCUGGUGUGCGUGUGUGUGCAGAGCCAGCCUUCCUUUUGCUUAUGAGAAGUAUGAGAGGAGGGACCAAAGGCUACACCUGGGUACUUGUAUUUGUUGUAAAGAACAGUUCAGAUACUCAGCUGGACAACACAACUACUGGCUGCAGGUGUUCUCCGGUAUAAGCGUUUAAUUGUUGUGCUGACCAAACACAGCAGGAGCAGUUCCUUUGGCUUGUGGGACACUAAAUUGUACCCUAUUGGGACAAAAUGAGAAGUACAGUCAGGUCCUUACAAUUCCUUUUUAUGGGAUAUGGACAUCUAGACAUCUUCACUGAUCUGACCCAAUUCAUCACAUGUUAUCUGAGCCAUAUAAAAAAUCACUGGCUGGUUUAAGAUGGCCAUCUAUACUCUUUCUUUCCUGCUGGGGGAAAAAAAUAGACAUUUGUCUUCAUAUGCUGAUUGAAAGGUGUCUUGUAUGGGUAGAUCCUUUUAAAAUCACUAUCUUGCAUAAGCUGAAUCUCCGUUGAACAGGCAGGGAACAGACAGCUAACCCAGUGCUUAACUUUUUGAAGAUGAAAGUGAAGUAUGAAGAAUCCCUGUUUUGGUCACACACCUGAAAGUUGAAAAUACAGCUUAUUUUAUUUUAGAUGAAGAUUUUCUUUUUUUACCUGCUAUUUUCAUUAUUUACCUUUAAGGAUCUUAUUUUGUAGCAUCACUCAAUGGGUUUACCAGAGUAGUACAAGGAGAAUAUUGCUCAGAGAAGGUGGUGAGAUCAUUGUUUCUAGAUUGCUUUUCAUUUGGAAAUUUCAAAGCUUGACUCUGCUUACUUGAAUCCCUCAGAUCAUGUAAAAUUAGGAUGAAUUCUCUAUGCUUCAUUUGUAUCAUCUCGAUAUAUUUGCUUAUUUAUUUUAAUAAAAAUUGUGAUCAACACUGGUAAAGUAUAUCUUUAUGCAUCAACGCAUGUCCAUUUAUAAACUGCAAAAGUUGUACAAGAUGCAAACCAAAUAAGCUAAAUAUAGGUGAGAUUUAGACAUUUUUCUCUAUUUGAAACCAAAUGUAAUUACAGGAUUUGAAAGAUUGUUAUGAAUAUAUUUUAUCAGAUUCUUUGCUGUUAUUUUGCUGGCAGUUUAGUGAAUAUCAAUGCACAGUUGUAUAGGAUAUCAGCUCAAAAAUAAAUGGUUUAUGAUCUGUU